CUCUAAACUUCAAAGAUGUUGGUCCCUCUGUUGAUGCAAGUUCACAUCAGCAGAGAGGAAAGUCUCCUGAACCCAAAUGUUUGUCCAUGAAGAGUGAUCAGUCUUUUGGUCGUCUGCUUAACUUCAACGAUGGACGCCGUUCUUAUGACACAGAAGAGGACCAGGAGAGCUCAGAGGUUCCCACAGGUCCGUC
Gasterosteus aculeatus aculeatus (three-spined stickleback) is the source of this 193-nucleotide non-coding RNA. NCBI's taxonomy places the organism in Eukaryota, Metazoa, Chordata, Actinopteri, Perciformes, Gasterosteidae. The record is from RefSeq and is a predicted model, not a curated record.